AUACGUAGGGGACAAGCGUUGUCCGGAAUGACUGGGCGUAAAGGGCGCGUAGGCGGUCUAUUAAGUCUGAUGUGAAAGGUACCGGCUCAACCGGUGAAGUGCAUUGGAAACUGGUAGACUUGAGUAUUGGAGAGGCAAGUGGAAUUCCUAGUGUAGCGGUGAAAUGCGUAGAUAUUAGGAGGAACACCAGUGGCGAAGGCGGCUUGCUGGACAAAUACUGACGCUGAGGUGCGAAGGCGUGGGGAGCGAACAGGAUUAGAUACCCGGGUAGUCCACGCCGUAAACGAUGAAUGCUAGGUGUUGGGGAAACUCAGUGCCGCAGUUAACACAAUAAGUAUUCCGCCUGGGGAGUACGGCCGCAAGGUUGAAACUCAAAUGAAUUGACGG
This 387-nucleotide ribosomal RNA is filed under the name uncultured bacterium. Its description in RNAcentral is "partial 16S ribosomal RNA". It matches the Rfam family "Bacterial small subunit ribosomal RNA", at positions 523 to 916 of the family's 1533-position model. The record is from RNAcentral.